GUUCUUGAUGAGAACCCGAUUAUCCUGCUAAGUUAUUCUCUCGAGAAGACGGAAUGUAGACCAAUAGACAGAUUGUUUUUCAAAGUGGCACAUUACCUCACAUGGGACCUCGUCGAAAGUGAGAUUGAAAGCUUUACCGACAGGCUUACGAGCAGGCACGUCAAAUCAUUGUUGCAGUGUGUAGAUAUCGACAUGAAAGAGGACGUAAUAGUUACAGCAAAUAAAACUACAAUGUUCAACACUCAGGCAAUCGUGAAUGACUGGAUCAGGCAAGCGGCGUGCAGCAAUUACGAAAAAAGAUUGAAGCUUCGUGAGGCAGUGGUCAGCAUUGGUCGACAAGACAUAAAAGAUGAGUUUCGGAAAGACCUUAACCCUGGCAGAGACCUAGGAAUCCAGCAUGGAACAAAAUCAUCUGGCCAUGGAAAAGGUA
Molecule: long non-coding RNA, 430 nt
Organism: Lytechinus variegatus (green sea urchin)
Lineage: Eukaryota; Metazoa; Echinodermata; Echinoidea; Temnopleuroida; Toxopneustidae
Exons: 3
Source: RefSeq, a predicted model, not a curated record